AGCACUCUGCUUUGUCUCCGGUCGGUAUCUCUCUUUGACUCUGAAUCCCUCUGUGUAUCUCUCUCUUCCUAUGGUCUUCUGUCCCUCAGAGCAGCAGUUUGCAUCUCUCAAAAAGGCCAGAGGACCAGGAGUUGCUUGUACAGGCGGCAUGAAAAAGACCAGCUGGGGAGGGGAGUUCCUUCAACGGGCCCAUGCCCUUUGCUGUCCUCCCUACAGGACCCCCAUCUUUGGGUCUGACCAGGCUGCAUCCUCACAGUCUAAUGGCAUCUUAACUCAGAUUUACAAGCCAACUUUCCCACCUCUGCAACGCUAAAGGCAUCAGAGAGAGCUAGCUCCUUCUGCAAGGUGUAGCCAGUGCUGAUCAGCAUGACCCGUGUGGACCUCCUAAGCUACAGGUAUCACAAGGCUCACACCCUUUGGGUACUGUUGCAGAACCAAGUGGAAUGGCUUGAGUCUAGUUGGGGCCGCUGCUGUGCUCAUCCUUCUUGUUGCAGAGGCUUCAUCCCCCUUCCUGACCUCAGGCGAGCAGCUCCAGUGAAAGCCAGGCAGGCUCCCCCCCCCCACACCCCCACCUCUGGACACCUGGCUUUUAACAGAGGGACUGCCUCCUGCAUGGUGCUGGUGGUGGUCUGUUGGAAGGGCCCUGCCUGACCUUCAUCAGAGCACCCGCAUGUUCCUUCCCUUGCCCCACUCACCCCUCCAGUCCUGUUACCAGGCCAGAUGAUGACAGGGCUUACAUUGAUUUUUCUCACCCACACCGGCCCC
RNAcentral lists this long non-coding RNA (765 nucleotides) under Rattus norvegicus (Norway rat). RNAcentral's name for it is "long non-coding RNA NONRATT019478". Lineage: Eukaryota; Metazoa; Chordata; Mammalia; Rodentia; Muridae. The record is from RNAcentral.